GAAAGGGCUGAAGUAAACACUUAGGAAGACCGUUUUGAAAGAAAUCGGGGUUUAGGGCUUUUAUGGAACCAUCAUCUGGCCCCAAAGCCCUUAGCCACUAAUAAUAUUUCGAGGCGACAAAGAAGGUUGUCAAUUCGCCAGGGUACGCUCCAAAGAGAAGAGGGCGCGUGGCGCAGGCGCCCCUCUCACAUCUCCAUGCAAAGCAGAGCGGAGAGCGCCCCAAGUCUGCGCGCUGCGGGGGAAGGGCAAGGCUGAGACGACUUCCUCCCCGAGGCCGCGGACCUGAGCGGGGUGCAGCCCAGUGCACCAAGUCUCCUCCCUGGCCGGUACCCCGACGCCGUCCCGCACCCAGCCAAGUCUCCGUCAAGUCCUCAAAGAACCGUCAAGAUGGGCGAGUCAAAUGAUGAUAUAGACCAAAUGUUCAGCAAUUUGCUGGGAGAGAUGGAUCUUUUGACCCAGAGUUUGGGAGUUGACACUCUCCCUCCUCCGGACCCUAACCCACCCAGACCUGAAUUUAACUACAGUGUGGGUUUUAAGGAUU
Hipposideros armiger (great roundleaf bat) is the source of this 541-nucleotide long non-coding RNA. RefSeq lists it as uncharacterized. The transcript has 4 exons. The record is from RefSeq and is a predicted model, not a curated record. NCBI's taxonomy places the organism in Eukaryota, Metazoa, Chordata, Mammalia, Chiroptera, Hipposideridae.